Mustela lutreola (European mink) is the source of this 2816-nucleotide long non-coding RNA. RefSeq lists it as uncharacterized. The transcript is spliced from 2 exons. The record is from RefSeq and is a predicted model, not a curated record. NCBI's taxonomy places the organism in Eukaryota, Metazoa, Chordata, Mammalia, Carnivora, Mustelidae.
GGGGCGCCGGGAGCUCCCGACGGCUCCAGAGCUCCGGCCGCGCGGAGGGACCCCCGCCCCCGCCCCCGCCGCGCCGGGCCGGGCCGGGCCGUGGAGGGAGGUGCGCCUUCUCGUCCAACCUUCUCGUCCAACCGGGCCGGCCCCCGGGUCUCGCCACCCCCCACCACCACCCCGGGCUGUGGGGCUCCCAGCUCAGCUCGGGGGCGCUCAGGCCUCCCUCCCCAGGACCCUCUGGAAUCCCCGCCCCAUCCGAGCCUCGGCUUCCUCCCAGGCGGGGCCGCGGGCCGGGGGCCCCCACGCCCGAAGGGUUCGCGGGCCAGGCAGGCGACCUCCCCGAACUUCCGUUUCCCCCUGUGGCUCCGCACCCCGAAGCCAGAUAGAGUCGGUGCCCCUCCUCGCAGGCGGCUGGCACCGGACCACCGCCGUGGGGUGGACGCCAGUCCGGGGGCGCCCCCCAUCCCACACCGGCCGUCCCUGGCCCACGGGGUGGGCGGAUCCCAGCUGGUCCCUAGUAAGUGCUUCGAGCCCCAUUUUCGCAUCUGUCGCACGGAAAGAGCUAGCUCAAGUUUGCGGCUGUGCCAGGGAGUGUGGCUGUUGGUGGCGGCCACCCAGCGGGGACCACAGGAACACUUUCUACCCAGGAGACUUUGAAAUGACACUCCCAGUCUCCUGGGGUACAGGAGACUGACACAGUAGCGACCUUGGGCCCAUGGGGACUGAGAGCAGAGUGAGGGUCACCGGCUCCCAGGUAGCGGGCAGUUCGCAGGGCAGCGUGGGCCUCCCAGCUGGGUCCACCACCCGACUACCCCUUCUGAGAUGCCACAUCCACCAGGACCUUCCGCAUUCCCUUUGGGGUGCUGAGAAACCACACCCCACGUGUGCCCUGUGAAAAGAGCCCUGGCACUCAGAGGCUGGGCGGGUCCCCACCCCGGCUCGCGGCUCGACCACCUCACUCCAAACUGCUGAAGAAAUGGCCCUGGAAGCACGCGUCCAUGAGAAGGUGAGCAGAGCCCAGGCCUCCAGCGCGGGUCCUCGGGUGCAGGCCUGGAUCCUGAGUGUCUGGAGGAGCACGUGGGGGAAGCCAGUGCCCUCAGGAUCCCACAGUCCAGCCCAGCCUCAGGGACUACCCCUGUUUGCCUACACCAGCAGAUGUGCAAUCCACAGGCUGGAGGCGGGGGUACCCUCAUGUGGGAGGGUGUCCGAGGGGGGGCAAGGCCCCGUGGGGCAGGCUGCAGCUGCAGAAAGGAGCCCCCCACCUGGGACAGUACUUCUAGCCCCUGGAGUGGGGGCCGCCGUGCUCCCCUGCCUCAGAUUACUGAGACAUACACCCUGCCCAGCUCAGAGUCCCUCUUGCCAUCACCCAGAUGCCUCCCCUUCUUCUUGGAACUUGGGGGCUGGUGCACCCCUCCCUGAAGACUGCAGAUUCCUCUCGGGUAGAAGCUGUGCAGCCUUCAGCCGCUGACCCCAUCCCUGCCCCCACCCAAGACUGAAGAGCACAGAGGGGCCGACAGGGAAAGGCGGGGACGGCGUGGUCUUCCUGCUCUGUCCCAGCUUCCUUAGCCCGUGGCUCAGCCUUCUCGGAGCUCCAAGACCUGGGAAGACGCCCACCUCCCCCAGUGACCAGAGCGAGGACCUGGGAUUCAGCACUUGCGCUCCGAGGAGGGAAGGGGCCUUGGACGUCCAGCUAGGAGAGUUGGAGGCGGUCAGCCAGGGACGCCUGGUUCUGCAGGAGCCCUGAGAACAGAGGAGACAGUCCCCCAGGCUCAGAGCCCCUCAGGCAUGGUCUUCCUUGGGCGACACUGGGUGCGAUUCUCUGGGAGGGACAGACAAGGCCAAGGACACCCACCCCAGAGCUGGCUCCGAUGCCUGUUCCCUGACAGUGGCCCUGGGCUGGCCCCACAGCCCAGGCUGCCCCUUUCUGAACAGAAGGGAGCGGAGGACCAAGGGGGGUCCAUCCUAGCGAGGGGGUGACCCCACAGAAUGGCCCUAUACAAGGUGAGGGGCACUCCCUGACGACCUGACCCGGCCCUGACCCUACCUCCCCCUUCCCCCUGGCUCCCGGGCUCCCAGUUCCUUGACUUGUUGCAGGGCACAGCUGCGGAUCUAUCACACCCUGCAGCAUGCUCCGAGGGGCCUCCAGGGCUGUCCCCAGUCCUGCCCAGCCAGCUGCAGCUCCCGGGGACACACUCUGCCUUUCUUGAGCUGCUGUCUGGAGAUGGACUCAGAGGAGGGCUGUCUGCUCAGCGCGUCUGCUGCUGGUCCCAGCUCGAUUUCCCCUGUGCAUCCAGACACAGGGGACAGGCUCUGCCUUGAUCUCCAGAAAUGACCCUGGACACCUAGAGAGGCUUUGGAGGGCAGUGGCCACAGGGAGGGUGAAGGACUGGCCUCCCGCUCUUGUCUGGGGCCAGAUCUGGGGCAUCAGGCUGCUGAUGAAGCCAUUCUCGAGUCCUGGGAACCCACCACUGGACUCUAGGCCAUGCCACCCACCGAACGGACAGGACCAGGGUAGGUGAAGAAAGCCAAACCGCGUGACAGACACCUGGGCUGCACCACGGCCCUGAGCCCUCCUCGGGGAGCUGGUGGCCUGGCCGCACAGCGGGUCCCCACUCCCUGCAGCCGCCCCCUCCCCCACUCCAGGGUGGAGAGGCCACCUCUGCAGAUGAGGCAGGGUGGGGGGCUGGGGGGGACCCUUGCCCAGCAGGGCAGCUGGCCUAAGGCCAGGGCGUUCUAACCCUUCCCUCCCACCCCUUCCCUCUCCCCAGGGCCUUUACCUGGGAUGUGUUCAGGCUCCCAGAAAAAUAAACACAUUAACCGCU